AACGGUCUAUACCUGCGGUACCUGCGGAAGGAUCAUUAAUGAGAAACUGCCCCUCGCGGGUGGAUCUCCCACCCUUUGUAAACUUACCUUUGUUGCUUUGGCAGGCCCGUCUCCGGACCGCCGGCUUCGGCUGGCCAGUGCCUGCCAGAGGAUUCUAAAACUCUGUCUGUCAGUGUUGUCUGAGUCUAUAUACAAUCGUUAAAACUUUCAGCAAUGGAUCUCUAGAUCGGAAGAGCACAC
RNAcentral lists this unclassified non-coding RNA (240 nucleotides) under soil metagenome. Its description in RNAcentral is "partial contains 5.8S ribosomal RNA, internal transcribed spacer 2, and large subunit ribosomal RNA". The record is from RNAcentral.